UGAAUACGAGACGCUAAGGCGUCGAAGUAGUGUAUGUCAUACUUCCAAGAAAAGCUUGCACUGUCAUAGAUAAAAAACGCCUGUACCAUAACCGACACAGGUGGGUAGGUAGAGUAUACUAAGGGGCGCGAGAUAACUCUCUCUAAGGAACUCGGCAAAAUAACUCCGUAACUUCGGGAGAAGGAGUGCCUUAUUCGUAAGGUUGCAAUAACAAGAUCCAAGCAACUGUUUAUCAAAAACACAGGUCUCCGCUAAGUCGUAAGACGAUGUAUGGGGGCUGACGCCUGCCCAGUGCCAGAAGGUUAAAGAAGUUGGUUAGCAAUUGCGAAGCUGAUAACUGAAGCCCUGGUGAACGGCGGCCGUAACAAUAACGGUCCUAAGGUAGCGAAAUUCCUUGUCGGGUAAGUUCCGACCCGCACGAAAGGCGUAAUGAUUUGGAUACUGUCUCGGAGAGGGGCUCGGUGAAAUAGACUUGUCUGUGAAGAUGCGGACUACCUGCACCAGGACAGAAAGACCCUAUGAAGCUUUACUGUAACUUGAAAUUGAAAUUGGACUUUAUUCGCGCAGUAUAGGUGGGAGGCGUUGAUUAUAAUCUUGUGGGAUUAUUGGAGCCAUCAGUGAGAUACCACUCUUGUAAUGUUAGAUUUCUAACUUUGAAUCAUUAUCUGGUCAAAGAACAGUUUCAGGCGGGCAGUUUGACUGGGGCGGUCGCCUCCUAAACGGUAACGGAGGCGUACAAAGGUUUCCUCUGAACGGUUAGAAAUCGUAUCUAGAGUGUAAAGGCAUAAGGAAGCUUGACUGUGAGACCUACAAGUCGAGCAGGGACAAAAGUCGGUCUUAGUGAUCUGACGGUACUGAGUGGAAAGGCCGUCACUCAACGGAUAAAAGUUACUCUAAGGAUAACAGGCUGAUCUCCCCCAAGAGUUCACAUCGACGGGGAGGUUUGGCACCUCGAUGUCGGCUCAUCGCAUCCUGGGGCGGUAGUACGUCCCAAGGGUUGGGCUGUUCGCCCAUGAAAGCGGUACGCGAGCUGGGUUCAGAACGUCGUGAGACAGUUCGGUCCAUAUCCGGUGUAGGCGUUAGAAUAUCGAGAGGAGCCUUCUUUAGUACGAGAGGACCGAGAAGGACAUACCUCUGGUGUACCAGUUAUCGUGCCAACGGUAAACGCUGGGUAGCUAUGUAUGGAGUGGAUAACCGCUGAAAGCAUCUAAGUGGGAAGCCCACCUCAAGAUAAGUAUUCGC
RNAcentral lists this ribosomal RNA (1242 nucleotides) under metagenome. RNAcentral describes it as "bacterial LSU rRNA". It matches the Rfam family "Bacterial large subunit ribosomal RNA", at positions 1564 to 2815 of the family's 2925-position model. The record is from RNAcentral.